GACGAACCGUCCAAACGUUAUUCGGAAUUACUGGGCGUAAAGGGUGCGUAGGCGGCGCGGUAAGUCGGGUGUGAAAUCUCGGAGCUUAACUCCGAAACUGCAUUCGAUACUGCCGUGCUUGAGGACUGGAGAGGAGACUGGAAUUUACGGUGUAGCGGUGAAAUGCGCAGAUAUCAGGAAGAACACCCGUGGCGAAGGCGGCUCUCUGGGACGGUACUGACGCUGAGACGCGAAAGCGUGGGGAGCAAACAGG
RNAcentral lists this ribosomal RNA (253 nucleotides) under uncultured bacterium. RNAcentral's name for it is "partial 16S ribosomal RNA". It matches the Rfam family "Bacterial small subunit ribosomal RNA", at positions 524 to 776 of the family's 1533-position model. The record is from RNAcentral.